Molecule: ribosomal RNA, 488 nt
Filed under: uncultured bacterium
Lineage: Bacteria
Description: bacterial SSU rRNA
Rfam family: Bacterial small subunit ribosomal RNA
Source: RNAcentral
GGGAUACGAGACGGAGAGGCAUCUCUACCGUCUGGAAAGUUUUUCGGUCUGGGAUGGACUCGCGGCCUAUCAGCUUGUUGGUGAGGUAAUGGCUCACCAAGGCGACGACGGGUAGCCGGCCUGAGAGGGCGACCGGCCACACUGGGACUGAGACACGGCCCAGACUCCUACGGGAGGCAGCAGUGGGGAAUAUUGCACAAUGGGCGAAAGCCUGAUGCAGCAACGCCGCGUGAGGGAUGACGGCCUUCGGGUUGUAAACCUCUUUCAGUAGGGAAGAAGCGAAAGUGACGGUACCUACAGAAGAAGCACCGGCUAACUACGUGCCAGCAGCCGCGGUAAUACGUAGGGUGCGAGCGUUGUCCGGAAUUAUUGGGCGUAAAGAGCUUGUAAGCGGUUUGUCGCGUCUGCCGUGAAAAUCCGAGGCUCAACCUCGGACUUGCGGUGGGUACGGGCAGACUAGAGUGUGGUAGGGGAGACUGGAAUUCCUG